RNAcentral lists this ribosomal RNA (253 nucleotides) under uncultured bacterium. RNAcentral describes it as "partial 16S ribosomal RNA". It matches the Rfam family "Bacterial small subunit ribosomal RNA", at positions 524 to 776 of the family's 1533-position model. The record is from RNAcentral.
UACAGAGGUCUCAAGCGUUGUUCGGAUUCAUUGGGCGUAAAGGGUGCGUAGGUGGCGCGCUAAGUCAGGUGUGAAAUUUCGGAGCUUAACUCCGAAACUGCAUUUGAUACUGGCGUGCUUGAGGACUGGAGAGGAGACUGGAAUUCACGGUGUAGCAGUGAAAUGCGUAGAUAUCGUGAGGAAGACCAGUGGCGAAGGCGGUCUCCUGGGGCAUUCUUGACGCUGAGGCGCGAAAGCUGGGGGAGCGAACGGG